Molecule: ribosomal RNA, 478 nt
Filed under: uncultured bacterium
Lineage: Bacteria
Description: partial 16S ribosomal RNA
Rfam family: Bacterial small subunit ribosomal RNA
Source: RNAcentral
GAUGAACGCUGGCGGCGUGCUUAACACAUGCAAGUCGAACGAGAAGUGAAGACGGAAACCUUCGGGCGGAAGGCUUUAUUUCGAGUGGCGGACGGGUGAGUAACGCGUGGUUAACCUGCCUCAUACAGGGGGAUAACAGUUGGAAACGACUGUUAAUACCGCAUAAGACCACAGCACCGCAUGGUGCGGGGGUAAAAACUCCGGUGGUAUGAGAUGGACCCGCGUUCGAUUAGCCAGUUGGCGGGGUAACGGCCCACCAAAGCGACGAUCGAUAGCCGAUCUGAGAGGAUGACCGGCCACAUUGGGAGUGAGACACGGCCCAAACUCCUACGGGAGGCAGCAGUGGGGAAUAUUGCACAAUGGGGGAAACCCUGAUGCAGCGACGCCGCGUGAGUGAAGAAGUAUUUCGGUAUGUAAAGCUCUAUCAGCAGGGAAGAAAAUGACGGUACCUGAGGAAGAAGCCCCGGCUAACUACGUG